CUAGACGAGUUUGAUCAUGGCUCAGGACGAACGCUGGCGGUGUGCUUCACACAUGCAAGUCGAACGAGGUAGCAAUACCUAGUGGCGGACGGGUGAGUAACGCGUGGGAAUCUGCCUUAAGAUGGGGGAUAACGAGCCGAAAAGGCUCGCUAAUACCGCAUAUGCCCGAAAGGUGAAAGGAGUAAUCCGUCUUAAGAUGAGCCCGCGUCCGAUUAGCUAGUUGGUAGGGUAAAGGCCUACCAAGGCGACGAUCGGUAGCUGGUCUGAGAGGAUGAUCAGACCACAAUGGGACUGAGACACGGCCCAUACUCCUACGGGAGGCAGCAGUGGGGAAUUUUACGCAAUGGGGGAAACCCUGACGUAGCGACACCGCGUGAGCGAAGAAGCCCCCGUUGGGGUGUAAAGCUCUGUCAGCUGGAACGAAAAAAAUAGACGGUACCAGCAGAGGAAGCAUCGGCUAACUACGUG
Molecule: ribosomal RNA, 468 nt
Filed under: uncultured bacterium
Lineage: Bacteria
Description: bacterial SSU rRNA
Rfam family: Bacterial small subunit ribosomal RNA
Source: RNAcentral